UAAAGGAGUGCGCGGUUUUUCCCGUGAUGUCAAAAGAUCAGCUGGUCUUGGGGAUUCACAGAAUCCCAAUAUAUUCGCAUGACGACAUUAGAUAUACAAAUGGUGAAUCCCUCAUCUCGCCCACAGAAGCCAGUUUUCAUUACUAUUUACUACUUGACCAUAGGAUGACGACUAAGAAAAGAGGCCUAGCUAUUUUAUACGCAGUGCACUAGCUAGGCUUAUUUUUCACCCCAACCGCAAGCAUCAGUGCAUUCUGUCUGACAUGCAUUCUUAUGAUCAUGCUUACAGGAAUUUCAUUUUUCUGCAAGAUACAUUUUCUCCCAACAAUGAUGGCAGUUUUACAGUUUAGUCUUCUGAUGUUAUUUCUUGUACCACAUGUCACAGAAAUGUCUGCAACGACCCCACUUGUCUCCCCAAAAGGAGUUUGUAUAUCACCUAGCAGUAGGGCAACCUUGAGAUUUCAGUGGAAAGCUGUAAAUGCAGACCCCAAUGAUGAGACACUCCAGGUUACCUGCUAUCUGCAGAAUGGAACAGCAAUUGUGAUGAAAGAACCCCAAGUGCAAAGCAUUAAGUACUGCACCACACAGGGAUCAUGGGUGUUGGAAACGACUCUCACAGUGCAGGAUGUAACUGCCAACAUGUUCAGUUUCUGUAAUUGCUCUGUGAUGAAAAAUGGUGAAGUGCUUGAAAAAAAGCCAAGCAGGGAGGCUAUGUCCAAGGCAAAUAUUUGGACCCGCAAUGACUCCAUGCUUUUGCUGUCACAAGAGGACGUGUUGAUUACCCCAGGCAAAGAGUUAGACAUAAAAUUUGACUUGAAGUGUGAUGAUGGGGGAUGGUUUGAGGUCAUCAAAAUCUACGACGAUGGACACAGGAAACAUUUAGAGUUCAAGUUCGAAGGCAACAAUCAAGGUCAGGAGCCUUUCAUCCUGAUAAGAGAUGGACUGCUACCACUGCUUCGCUUUCCAGCCCUAAGAUGCAGUGAUGCUGGUCGCUACCUUAUCAUUUACUGGGCCAGCAGGAAUUUCGUACGGGUUGAGACACAACUGGAACUGCGAGUACAUGCUAAUGAGUCAACCUGCCCCAAGCCUACUGCCAUCGCAGGAAUGUUCACAGGAGCAGAUCUCCUUAACAAUUGAAGGAAGAGUUGACCAUUUGCAGCCAUUCUGAAAAGAUUUAACCAAGUUACCGAGUAAACAAAGAGGAACCUGAGAAGUGUGAUACAUUGUUGAGACAGCAAGGGCCUAAUCCUGACUCGGAGCAAACUUAACACAUCGCUGC
RNAcentral lists this unclassified non-coding RNA (1278 nucleotides) under Acanthaster planci (crown-of-thorns starfish). RNAcentral describes it as "uncharacterized LOC110981097, transcript variant X4". The record is from RNAcentral. Lineage: Eukaryota; Metazoa; Echinodermata; Asteroidea; Valvatida; Acanthasteridae.